RNAcentral lists this ribosomal RNA (329 nucleotides) under Neocallimastigales sp. Its description in RNAcentral is "partial large subunit ribosomal RNA". The record is from RNAcentral. Lineage: Eukaryota; Fungi; Neocallimastigomycota; Neocallimastigomycetes; Neocallimastigales.
UGUUGUUUUUCUGAAAAUCAAUUUAAGAACUGUUCAUUUUUAGUUGUUAAGACUUUAUCGGCUUACUGCUAUUUUUUGGAUUUUUCUUGAAUGCACUUUUCAGUUAACAAGUCAACAUCAAUUUCUUUUGUUGUAAAACGGUAAAAGGAAGGUGGCUUUAUCUUCGGAUGAAGUGUUUAUAGCCUUUUACUUCUGCAAUCGGAGAGAUUGAGGUCUGCAGCGUAGAUCCUUCGGGGUUAGAUACUUCUAUGCUAAGCUAUAGUCCUAUAUAGACAACUUGUUGACUAUGUUCGAUCCUGUAACCUACUCGUAGAUACUAUUUUACCUAC